ACUUCCAAAGGAUAAUAGCAAUCCAAUGGUCUUAGGAGCCACUAAUCUUGGUGCAAAUCCAAGUGGAAGUA
RNAcentral lists this transfer RNA (71 nucleotides) under Rhamphocharis crassirostris piperata. RNAcentral describes it as "tRNA-Leu". It matches the Rfam family "tRNA". From Rfam's summary of the family: Transfer RNA (tRNA) molecules are approximately 80 nucleotides in length. Their secondary structure includes four short double-helical elements and three loops (D, anti-codon, and T loops). Lineage: Eukaryota; Metazoa; Chordata; Aves; Passeriformes; Melanocharitidae. The record is from RNAcentral.